Molecule: non-coding RNA, 357 nt
Organism: Fructobacillus fructosus KCTC 3544
Lineage: Bacteria; Bacillati; Bacillota; Bacilli; Lactobacillales; Lactobacillaceae
Source: Rfam
GGGCUCGUCCCGGAAUUCGACAGGCUAUUACGAGCGCUAGCUGCAUUCCGCCAUCUGGGCGUUAAGCAGGCAGACUAUUUAACUGCAAAAAACAAUAACUCUUACGCUGUCGCUGCCUAAAAACCAGUGACACGUGGGUAUACUCGUUAGGCUAACAUGGUGAGUAUACUCUUAUAAAUGGUUAGCUCGGUUGCAUGACGAUGUCGGCGCGAUGUAACUUAAAUCAAUUCGAUCCCAGCCAAAGUCAAGUUCUGGACAAUGGCUGCUUUGGUUGCGGUAACAAUGAUUGCCCUAUGAAUGUAGACGCUAGCGUGGCGGAUGGUUUGGACAGGGGUUCGACUCCCCUCGGGUCCAUUG